AUACGGAGGGUGCAAGCGUUACUCGGAAUCACUGGGCGUAAAGCGCGCGCAGGCGGGCUGAUAAGUUGGAUGUGAAAGCCUACGGCUCAACCGUAGAACUGCAUCCAAAACUGUCAGUCUAGAGUGUGCGAGAGGAAGAUGGAAUUAGUUGUGUAGGGGUAAAAUCCGUAGAGAUAACUAGGAAUACCAAAAGCGAAGGCAAUCUUCUGGAACACUACUGACGCUGAGGCGCGAAGGCGUGGGGAGCAAACAGGAUUAGAAACCCCAGUAGUCC
This 274-nucleotide ribosomal RNA is filed under the name uncultured bacterium. RNAcentral's name for it is "partial 16S ribosomal RNA". It matches the Rfam family "Bacterial small subunit ribosomal RNA", at positions 523 to 796 of the family's 1533-position model. The record is from RNAcentral.